Molecule: unclassified non-coding RNA, 300 nt
Filed under: Helotiales sp.
Lineage: Eukaryota; Fungi; Ascomycota; Leotiomycetes; Helotiales
Description: partial contains internal transcribed spacer 1
Source: RNAcentral
AAGUCGUAACAAGGUUUCCGUAGGUUGUUAGGGUUUGCCUACGCUGUUAAGUCUACUGUUGAAUAGGCAACAUCUCUACCGUGCUAGAAAUCACCUACGUGGUACUAGCAGCUCAUGCGAAUGAGUUCACAGGUCAAAUAGAGGUGGCCCCUAAAAGGGUUAAGAUAUGAUCGAGCGGCAGUUUUCACGAGCUGCCUCUGAAGUGGAACCUGCGGAAGGAUCAUUAAGAGAACAUGCCCUCACGGGGUAUAUCUCCCCACCCUGUGUUUAUGCUACCUUUGUUGCUUUGGCGGGCCUGUC